AGUGAACGCUGGCGGUAGGCCUAACACAUGCAAGUCGAACGGCAGCACAGGAGAGCUUGCUCUCUGGGUGGCGAGUGGCGGACGGGUGAGGAAUACAUCGGAAUCUACUUUUUCGUGGGGGAUAACGUAGGGAAACUUACGCUAAUACCGCAUACGACCUACGGGUGAAAGCAGGGGAUCUUCGGACCUUGCGCGAUUGAAUGAGCCGAUGGCGGAUUAGCUAGUUGGCGGGGUAAAGGCCCACCAAGGCGAAGAUCCGUAGCUGGCCGGGGAGGAUGAUCAGCCACACUGGAACUGAGACACGGUCCAGACUCCUACGGGAGGCAGCAGUGGGGAAUAUUGGACAAUGGGCGCAAGCCUGAUCCAGCCAUACCGCGUGGGUGAAGAAGGCCUUCGGGUUGUAAAGCCCUUUUGUUGGGAAAGAAAUCCAGCUGGUUAAUACCCGGUUGGGAUGACGGUACCCAAAGAAUAAGCACCGGCUAACUUCGUGCCAGCCACCGCAGUAA
Molecule: ribosomal RNA, 506 nt
Filed under: uncultured bacterium
Lineage: Bacteria
Description: partial 16S ribosomal RNA
Rfam family: Bacterial small subunit ribosomal RNA
Source: RNAcentral